This 440-nucleotide ribosomal RNA is filed under the name uncultured bacterium. RNAcentral describes it as "partial 16S ribosomal RNA". It matches the Rfam family "Bacterial small subunit ribosomal RNA", at positions 338 to 795 of the family's 1533-position model. The record is from RNAcentral.
CCUACGGGAGGCAGCAGUGGGGAAUAUUGGACAAUGGGGGAAACCCUGAUCCAGCGACGCCGCGUGAGUGAAGAAGUAUUUCGGUAUGUAAAGCUCUAUCAGCAGGGAAGAACAUGACGGUACCUGACUAAGAAUCACCGGCUCACUACUUGCCAGCAGCCACGGUAAAACGUAGGGAGCAAGCGUUAUCCGGAUUUACUUGGUGUAAAGGGAGCGUAGACGGUGCAGCAAGUCUGCUGUGAAAGGUCGGGGCCCAACCCCGGGACUGCAUUGGAAACUGUUGAACUGGAGUACAGGAGAGGUAAGCGGAAUGCCUGGUGUAGCGGUGAAAUGCGUAGAUAUUAGGAGGAACACCAGUGGCGAAGGCGGCUUACUGGACUGUAACUGACGUUGAGGCUCGAAAGCGUGGGGAGCAAACAGGAUUAGAUACCCCUGUAGUC